UACGUAGGCAGCAAGCGUUGUUCGGAGUUACUGGGCGUAAAGGGUGUGUAGGCGGUUCUUUAAGUUUGCUGUGAAAUCUCCCGGCUUAACCGGGAGGGUGCGGUGAAUACUGAGGGACUAGAGUACGGGAGAGGAAAGUGGAAUUCCUGGUGUAGCGGUGAAAUGCGUAGAUAUCAGGAGGAACACCGGUGGUGUAGACGGCUUUCUGGACCGACAUUGACGCUGAACGGCGAAAGCUAGGGGAGCAAACGGG
Molecule: ribosomal RNA, 253 nt
Filed under: uncultured bacterium
Lineage: Bacteria
Description: partial 16S ribosomal RNA
Rfam family: Bacterial small subunit ribosomal RNA
Source: RNAcentral